GGAUGUAGCCAAGUGGAUAAGGCAGU
Molecule: transfer RNA, 26 nt
Filed under: Asimitellaria acerina
Lineage: Eukaryota; Viridiplantae; Streptophyta; Magnoliopsida; Saxifragales; Saxifragaceae
Also listed under: 4 other names
Description: Mitella acerina partial tRNA-His
Source: RNAcentral